This 169-nucleotide ribosomal RNA is filed under the name uncultured bacterium. Its description in RNAcentral is "partial 16S ribosomal RNA". It matches the Rfam family "Bacterial small subunit ribosomal RNA", at positions 335 to 526 of the family's 1533-position model. The record is from RNAcentral.
CGUCCUACGGGAGGCAGGCAGUGGGGAAUUUGCGCAAUGGGGAAACCCUGACGCAGCAACGCCGCGUGGAGGAUGAAGUCCUUGGGACGUAACUCCUUCGAGUCGGGAAGAUAAUGACGGUACGGAAGAAGAAGCCCGGCUAACUUCGUGCCAGCCGCCGCGGUAAUAC